RNAcentral lists this transfer RNA (30 nucleotides) under Eucleoteuthis luminosa. Its description in RNAcentral is "partial tRNA-Ile". Lineage: Eukaryota; Metazoa; Mollusca; Cephalopoda; Oegopsida; Ommastrephidae. The record is from RNAcentral.
UAUAAAUUAUAAGGGUAUCCUUCUGUGUUU